AGCCGCCGCGGUAAUUCGGAGGGUGCGAGCGUUGUCCGGAAUCACUGGGCGUAAAGGGCGCGUAGGCGGCGCGGAGAGUCAACGGUGAAAGCUCGGGGGUCAACCCCGAGUCGGCCGUCGAUACUUCCGUGCUGGAGCACUGUAGAGGCAGGUGGAAUUCCGGGUGUAGCGGUGGAAUGCGUAGAGAUCCGGAAGAACACCGGUGGCGAAGGCGGCCUGCUGGGCAGUAGCUGACGCUGAUGCGCGACAGCGUGGGGAGCAAACAGGAUUAGAUACCCUGGCAGUCCACGCCGUAAGCGAUGGGCACUAGGUGCUUGGGGGAGCGACCCUCUGAGUGCCGGCGCUAACGCAUUAAGUGCCCCGCCUGGGGAGUACGGCCGCAAGGCUGAAACUCAAAGGAAUGACGG
This 407-nucleotide ribosomal RNA is filed under the name uncultured soil bacterium. Its description in RNAcentral is "bacterial SSU rRNA". It matches the Rfam family "Bacterial small subunit ribosomal RNA", at positions 510 to 916 of the family's 1533-position model. The record is from RNAcentral.